Molecule: non-coding RNA, 545 nt
Filed under: Pan troglodytes (chimpanzee)
Lineage: Eukaryota; Metazoa; Chordata; Mammalia; Primates; Hominidae
Source: RNAcentral
CUUUCUUUUUCUGCCCUCGGCCUCGCUCUUGCGCACGGGACCACAAUGCUCCGCGCCGCUUGUCAUUGGGAGGCGCCGAAGGUGGGGGGGGUCGGCUCGGAAGGAAAAGCAAUCACAGGAAUAUAUAAAACAUGAGCAGAAAGAGGCCUUUGGAGAAAUCUGGACCAGCAUUCUCAUUUUACGGAUGAGGGACCGCAGCCCAUGGAGGUUUCCAUAGAUGAUUGGAAAAACCCAAGAGUUGGUCCUCUGUUCCAGACCCCACACAGACACAAACCUACAAGCCAAGGGAGCCAGUAUUUGGCCAUUCUUCCAUCCAUCUGCAUGUCCCAGGGAUGCACAAACAGGGAACACUUCAGCCUUUCGGCUGCCUUCAAAGAAGCAAUGAGAGAGAGAGAGAGGGUUACUUUGAUGAGUGAGCAGAUACCAGAAACACCAAGGAAGGCUCUGGUCUAAACCUUGCCCUCACUCCUGUCUUCUGGCUCCUGACCACCCUGGUGUCUUCCCCUGUGGCCCUGCAAGGCAUAUCAUGCUUCCUGUCUCUAGGA